AACGAACGCUGGCGGCAUGCCUAACACAUGCAAGUCGAACGAGACCUUCGGGUCUAGUGGCGUACGGGUGCGUAACGCGUGGGAACCUGCCCUUAGGUUCGGAAUAACUCCCCGAAAGGGGUGUUAAUACCGGAUAAUGUCUUCGGACCAAAGGUUUAUCGCCUUUGGAUGGGCCCGCGUUGGAUUAGCUAGUUGGUAGGGUAAAAGCCUACCAAGGCGACGAUCCAUAGCUGGUCUGAGAGGAUGAUCAGCCACACUGGGACUGAGACACGGCCCAGACUCCUACGGGAGGCAGCAGUGGGGAAUAUUGGACAAUGGGCGAAGGCCUGAUCCAGCAAUGCCGCGUGAGUGAUGAAGGCCUUAGGGUUGUAAAGCUCUUUUACCCGGGAUGAUAAUGACAGUACCGGGAGAAUAAGCUCCGGCUAACUCCGUG
This 433-nucleotide ribosomal RNA is filed under the name uncultured bacterium. Its description in RNAcentral is "partial 16S ribosomal RNA". It matches the Rfam family "Bacterial small subunit ribosomal RNA", at positions 29 to 507 of the family's 1533-position model. The record is from RNAcentral.